UACGGAGGGUGCGAGCGUUAAUCGGAAUUACUGGGCGUAAAGCGCACGCAGGCGGUCUGUCAAGUCGGAUGUGAAAGCCCCGGGCUCAACCUGGGAACGGCAUCCGGAACUGUCAGGCUAGAGUGCAGGAGAGGAAGGUAGAAUUCCCGGUGUAGCGGUGAAAUGCGUAGAGAUCUGGAGGAAUACCGGUGGCGAAGGCGGCCCCCUGGACAAAGACUGACGCUCAGGUGCGAAAGCGUGGGGAGCAAACUCG
This 253-nucleotide unclassified non-coding RNA is filed under the name uncultured Enterobacteriaceae bacterium. RNAcentral describes it as "contains 16S-23S intergenic spacer region". It matches the Rfam family "Bacterial small subunit ribosomal RNA", at positions 524 to 776 of the family's 1533-position model. The record is from RNAcentral. Lineage: Bacteria; Pseudomonadati; Pseudomonadota; Gammaproteobacteria; Enterobacterales; Enterobacteriaceae.